Molecule: long non-coding RNA, 652 nt
Organism: Coregonus clupeaformis (lake whitefish)
Lineage: Eukaryota; Metazoa; Chordata; Actinopteri; Salmoniformes; Salmonidae
Exons: 3
Source: RefSeq, a predicted model, not a curated record
UUAGGUUGCUGUUUAUUGGUCAGAACCGAUGAAAACUUGUCAAUCAAGGAAUGUAAGGCAAUGAUGCUGGGGCUUUAAAUGUAUCGUAUUGAUGCGCGUACCAUAACCGUGCAUCGUAUGUUAAGACUAUAGGUUAUAAACCUAAAUGGGGUUUUGUAGACGAUCCGCGUCGUGUGCGAUCGAUUUGAUUUCAUAGUAGGCCCACUAGACUAGAUUCCUCUUAUGUCACUCCCUCAAAAAUGUGGCACGGAUUUUACAGUCGGAGGAUGACAGAUUACUCAAGGAGUGGCUAUGUGAACAUGUGUCAGCGAUGACCGAAGUUGAAGCAACGUAUGCAGACUUCAUAGCCUCCGGUAGAACUGGACGAAGGAAUGCCCUGCAUGAUAUCCUCCAAAGCCCCACUGACUCAGACUCCAGGGAUCUCCCCCUGAGCCUAUCUCAACUCAACAUCAACCCAACCGGAGCUGACAUGGAAGAAAGUCAGGAAUCCUCCACAAACGCUCUGCCAAAGUCAGGGCAGAAGAAUUGGGGAAACAGUUAACUUUCAGGCCUGAACACUGAGUCGGGCCUGCACUCACCACCACAAAGUCUCACAGAGUAAAACAAACGGUGUAGUUUGUUAUGACAGAAAAACUGUAGAGUCAACGGGAAA